Molecule: ribosomal RNA, 292 nt
Filed under: uncultured Planctomycetota bacterium
Lineage: Bacteria; Pseudomonadati; Planctomycetota
Description: uncultured planctomycete partial 16S ribosomal RNA
Source: RNAcentral
GGACUACUGGGGUAUCUAAUCCCGUUUGCUCCCCUGGCUUUCGCGCCUCAGCGUCAGAAGAGGUCCAGCGGGUCGCUUUCGCCACCGGCGUUCCUUCCGAUAUCUACGCAUUUCACCGCUCCACCGGAAGUUCCACCCGCCCCUACCUCACUCGAGGCGACCAGUAUCCAAGGCUAUUCUCCAGUUAAGCUGGAGGAUUUCACCCCGGACUUGGUCACCCGCCUACGCGCCCUUUAAGCCCAGUGAAUCCGAACAACGUUCGCACGGUUCGUCUUACCGCGGCUGCUGGCAC